This is a non-coding RNA of Paramuricea clavata, 238 nucleotides long. The record is from the annotation of a GenBank genome assembly. NCBI's taxonomy places the organism in Eukaryota, Metazoa, Cnidaria, Anthozoa, Malacalcyonacea, Plexauridae.
CAGCCAAACUUUUAUUUUCUAAUCUAGAGCUUGAAAUGUCCCUGUAACAAUACGUGACUGCCAAUAGACAAUUCCCAUUAUAGACUAAUUUUAAAACUAGGCAAGGAGAUGCAAAUAAAUCACCACAGCUCGAAAGAACAUACUAAAAUAAGCGAGUAAAAUUGCAAAGUUUGGUUGCGAAAUGUUAUAAAAUGCGGAAAAUUUAGCCUUGCAAAGUUUGCAAAUUUUGUACACUUUU